GUGGGAACCAUCUUACUGAUUUCAGCAGUUUUGUGGAAGAAAAGAAAAGCUGGUUCUGAGGAAGAGACAAGGCAGGAGUCUCAAAAUGAGAAUUAUGACACAUACCAUUUGUACUCCACCAUCUCUGAGGAGCCAGCUUCACCAGUCCUGAAGGACAUGAUUUACAGCACCGUGCAGGCACACUGAAAUGCAAACUGUUUUACACCGUAUAAAGAGGAGACAGCCGAAG
Long non-coding RNA from Chelmon rostratus (copperband butterflyfish), 229 nucleotides. RefSeq lists it as uncharacterized. The transcript is spliced from 3 exons. Lineage: Eukaryota; Metazoa; Chordata; Actinopteri; Chaetodontiformes; Chaetodontidae. The record is from RefSeq and is a predicted model, not a curated record.